UGGACCAAUGAUGACGAUUGGUGGUACAUGAGUCGUAUACAAUGAAUACUACGUGUCUGAAACUCUGAGGUAUGA
Small nucleolar RNA from Diceros bicornis minor, 75 nucleotides. RefSeq annotates it as small nucleolar RNA SNORD113/SNORD114 family. NCBI's taxonomy places the organism in Eukaryota, Metazoa, Chordata, Mammalia, Perissodactyla, Rhinocerotidae. The transcript has a single exon. The record is from RefSeq and is a predicted model, not a curated record.